RNAcentral lists this ribosomal RNA (500 nucleotides) under uncultured bacterium. RNAcentral's name for it is "partial 16S ribosomal RNA". It matches the Rfam family "Bacterial small subunit ribosomal RNA", at positions 30 to 523 of the family's 1533-position model. The record is from RNAcentral.
AUUGAACGCUGGCGGAAUGCUUUACACAUGCAAGUCGAACGGCAGCACGGACUUCGGUCUGGUGGCGAGUGGCGAACGGGUGAGUAAUACAUCGGAACGUGCCCAGUCGUGGGGGAUAACGUAGCGAAAGCUACGCUAAUACCGCAUACGAUCUACGGAUGAAAGCGGGGGAUCGCAAUACCUCGCGCGAUUGGAGCGGCCGAUGGCAGAUUAGGUAGUUGGUAGGGUAAAGGCCUACCAAGCCGACGAUCUGUAGCUGGUCUGAGAAGAUGAUCAGCCACACUGGGACUGAGACACGGCCCAGACUCCUACGGGAGGCAGCAGUGGGGAAUUUUGGACAAUGGGCGCAAGCCUGAUCCAGCCAUUCCGCGUGCAGGAUGAAGGCCUUCGGGUUGUAAACUGCUUUUGUACAGAACGAAAAGGCUCUGGUUAAUACCUGGGGCUCAUGACGGUACUGUAAGAAUAAGCACCGGCUAACUACGUGCCAGCAGCCGCGGUAA